RNAcentral lists this long non-coding RNA (645 nucleotides) under Ananas comosus (pineapple). RNAcentral describes it as "long non-coding RNA (ACOM_LNC001415)". The record is from RNAcentral. Lineage: Eukaryota; Viridiplantae; Streptophyta; Magnoliopsida; Poales; Bromeliaceae.
UAUAACUCAUAUCCUCCUCCGCUAUACAAUUUUGUUAUAAAUUUUUUUAGAAAAAAUACUCAGUAAGAUAUUAGUUUUCAGUGUAAUUCAACCGAUGCAGAAUUAUUUUUGACAAGCAAAUAAAGAAUCUGUCGACUCAAGUUGAAUCCUAUGACAUAUGUACGUACUAGUGCUUUCAAAAAAGUAGAGAUUUGUAUAAUAUACAUGACUCAGUCAGUCGCUCAUAAGUAAAGGAAUGCACAUGAUGGCUGCUACAAAAAAAAUGAAUUUUUUUUUUUAGUGGAGAGCUUCACAACGAUGCUAUAUUAAGAAGCCUCCAAGCCGCUGCUACAUAUUAGUUUUGUCUGUAUCAAAUAAUUCGUUGAGUGUUUUUUAGUACUAAAAUUUUUUAAAAAAAUUAUAAUUUUUGUAUACUAACACACGACAACGAAUCGAAAAAUUCUUAAUGGAGGAAUUCUGUGCUGAUGCUUUUUCUAGAAAAAAUGGAAAAAAUGUAUUGUGUUACGUACACCGCAUCAUUAAAAAUAAGCCAAUCAUAUUUAUUUAUUUUGGAAAAAAAAAAUUAUAAUAAAAAUAUUUUUUUGUAAUGAUGAUGAGUCAGAUAAAUUUACAAAAAAAUUAUUUAAGAAUUUUUUCUUCAAUAUU